AAAUUGAAGAGUUUGAUCAUGGCUCAGAUUGAACGCUGGCGGCAGGCCUAACACAUGCAAGUCGAACGGUAACAGGAAGCAGCUUGCUGUUUUGCUGACGAGUGGCGGACGGGUGAGUAAUGUCUGGGAAACUGCCUGAUGGAGGGGGAUAACUACUGGAAACGGUGGCUAAUACCGCAUAACGUCGCAAGACCAAAGAGGGGGACCUUCGGGCCUCUUGCCAUCAGAUGUGCCCAGAUGGGAUUAGC
Molecule: ribosomal RNA, 248 nt
Filed under: Salmonella enterica
Lineage: Bacteria; Pseudomonadati; Pseudomonadota; Gammaproteobacteria; Enterobacterales; Enterobacteriaceae
Also listed under: 1 other name
Description: partial 16S ribosomal RNA
Rfam family: Bacterial small subunit ribosomal RNA
Source: RNAcentral